GACUACCGGGGUAUCUAAUCCUGUUUGCUCCCCACGCUUUCGUGCAUGAGCGUCAGUGCAGGCCCAGGGGAUUGCCUUCGCCAUCGGUGUUCCUCCGCAUAUCUACGCAUUUCACUGCUACACGCGGAAUUCCAUCCCCCUCUGCCGCACUCUAGCCAUGCAGUCACAAAUGCAGUUCCCAGGUUGAGCCCGGGGAUUUCACAUCUGUCUUGCAAAGCCGCCUGCGCACGCUUUACGCCCAGUAAUUCCGAUUAACGCUUGCACCCUACGUAUUACCGCGGCUGCUGGCACGUAGUUAGCCGGUGCUUAUUCUUCAGGUACCGUCAUUAGUCCGCGGUAUUAGCGCAGACCGUUUCUUCCCUGACAAAAGCGGUUUACAACCCGAAGGCCUUCUUCCCGCACGCGGCAUGGCUGGAUCAGGGUUGCCCCCAUUGUCCAAAAUUCCCCACUGCAGCCGCCCGUAGG
RNAcentral lists this ribosomal RNA (465 nucleotides) under uncultured Burkholderiales bacterium. RNAcentral describes it as "partial 16S ribosomal RNA". The record is from RNAcentral. Lineage: Bacteria; Pseudomonadati; Pseudomonadota; Betaproteobacteria; Burkholderiales.